This 447-nucleotide transfer-messenger RNA is filed under the name Patescibacteria group. RNAcentral's name for it is "GCA-2401425 sp002401425 Standard tmRNA". It matches the Rfam family "transfer-messenger RNA". Rfam says of the family: Bacterial tmRNA, also known as 10Sa RNA or SsrA, is named for its dual tRNA and mRNA-like properties. Its role is to liberate the mRNA from a stalled ribosome. To accomplish this part of the tmRNA is used as a reading frame that ends in a translation stop signal. RNAcentral also lists the same sequence under 2 other names. The record is from RNAcentral.
GGGGGUGACCGGAUUUCGACAGAAAUGAUUCGAAAUAGAAAAUGGCUAUUCAGUUGGUGUCUGGCGCAACUGCGAUCUCUACAGACAAACAUACAUGCUAACAAUACAGCAUCUCGAGUUUUCAACUCAGCUAAACGAUUUGCAGCGUCUUUCGCUCCAUCUUUCGCUUACGCUGCCUAGUUGUAAUCUCACCGUGACUCAUCUAUUAUCAUGAGUUCCGCUUCACUCUUUUUAUAAGCAGAAGAAAAGGGCUGGAGCGUAAUUAUUUCUGCUUCAUAGAGGGAUUCUCUGAGGAAUAGGCCUCUCUUUGUAUAAAAUUUCUUCGGAGAAAAGAGCUUUACGCUUGUUUUUUAUUCUCUUCUUCGUCAACUUUUAAGACAAAAUAUAAUAGUAGAAGUUUUCUCUUUCCAUUUUUGGACGCGGGUUCAAUUCCCGCCACCUCCACCA